CCUACGGGCGGCAGCAGUAGGGAAUAUUGCUCAAUGGGGGAAACCCUGAAGCAGCAACGCCGCGUGGAGGAUGAAGGUUUUAGGAGUUUAAACUCCUUUUGUUAGAGAAGAUUUUGACGGUAUCUAACGAAUAAGCACCGUCUAACUCCGGGCCAGAAGCCGCGGUAAGGCGGAGGGUUCCAGCGUUACGCGGAAUCACUGGGCGUAAAGAGUGCGUAGGCGGGGUAAUAAGUCAGAUGUGAAAUCCUGUAGCUUAACUAUAGAACUGCAUUUGAAACUGUUACUCUGGAGUGUGGGAGAGGUAGGUGGAAUAAGUGGUGUAGGGGUAAAAUCCGUAGAGAUCAAGAAGAAUACUCAUUGCGAAGGCGACCUGCUGGAACAUUACUGACGCUGAUGCACGAGAGCGUGGGGAGCAAACAGGAUUAGAUACCCCGGUAGUC
Molecule: ribosomal RNA, 440 nt
Filed under: uncultured bacterium
Lineage: Bacteria
Description: partial 16S ribosomal RNA
Rfam family: Bacterial small subunit ribosomal RNA
Source: RNAcentral